This 82-nucleotide transfer RNA is filed under the name Candidatus Azosocius agrarius. RNAcentral describes it as "tRNA-Leu". It matches the Rfam family "tRNA". From Rfam's summary of the family: Transfer RNA (tRNA) molecules are approximately 80 nucleotides in length. Their secondary structure includes four short double-helical elements and three loops (D, anti-codon, and T loops). Further hydrogen bonds mediate the characteristic L-shaped molecular structure. tRNAs have two regions of fundamental functional importance: the anti-codon, which is responsible for specific mRNA codon recognition, and the 3' end, to which the tRNAs corresponding amino acid is attached (by aminoacyl-tRNA synthetases). tRNAs cope with the degeneracy of the genetic code in two manners: having more than one tRNA (with a specific anti-codon) for a particular amino acid; and 'wobble' base-pairing, i.e. permitting non-standard base-pairing at the 3rd anti-codon position. The record is from RNAcentral. Lineage: Bacteria; Pseudomonadati; Pseudomonadota; Gammaproteobacteria; Candidatus Azoamicaceae.
GCGAAAAUGGCGAAAUUGGUAGACGCUUUGGACUUAGAAUCCAAUGGGCUUUCCCGUGAGAGUUCGAUUCUCUCUUUUCGUA